AUUGAACGCUGGCGGCAGGCCUAACACAUGCAAGUCGAGCGGUAGAGAGAAGCUUGCUUCUCUUGAGAGCGGCGGACGGGUGAGUAAUGCCUAGGAAUCUGCCUGGUAGUGGGGGAUAACGCUCGGAAACGGACGCUAAUACCGCAUACGUCCUACGGGAGAAAGCAGGGGACCUUCGGGCCUUGCGCUAUCAGAUGAGCCUAGGUCGGAUUAGCUAGUUGGUGAGGUAAUGGCWCACCAAGGCGACGAUCCGUAACUGGUCUGAGAGGAUGAUCAGUCACACUGGAACUGAGACACGGUCCAGACUCCUACGGGAGGCAGCAGUGGGGAAUAUUGGACAAUGGGCGAAAGCCUGAUCCAGCCAUGCCGCGUGUGUGAAGAAGGUCUUCGGAUUGUAAAGCACUUUAAGUUGGGAGGAAGGGCAUUAACCUAAUACGUUGGUGUCUUGACGUUACCGACAGAAUAAGCACCGGCUAACUCUGU
RNAcentral lists this ribosomal RNA (483 nucleotides) under Pseudomonas sp. RNAcentral's name for it is "bacterial SSU rRNA". The record is from RNAcentral. Lineage: Bacteria; Pseudomonadati; Pseudomonadota; Gammaproteobacteria; Pseudomonadales; Pseudomonadaceae.